Gorilla gorilla gorilla (western lowland gorilla) is the source of this 148-nucleotide non-coding RNA. It matches the Rfam family "Metazoan signal recognition particle RNA". From Rfam's summary of the family: The signal recognition particle (SRP) is a universally conserved ribonucleoprotein. The record is from Rfam. NCBI's taxonomy places the organism in Eukaryota, Metazoa, Chordata, Mammalia, Primates, Hominidae.
GCUGGGCGUGGUGGCGCACGCCUGUAAUCCCAGCUACUUAGGAGGCUGAGGCAGUAGAAUCGCUUGAAUCUGGGAGGUAGAGGAUGCAGUGAGCCAAGAUCACGCCACUGCACUCCAGCCUGGGUGAUAGAGUGAGACUCCGUCUCCA